Molecule: transfer RNA, 64 nt
Filed under: Aplysia kurodai (Kuroda's sea hare)
Lineage: Eukaryota; Metazoa; Mollusca; Gastropoda; Aplysiida; Aplysiidae
Description: tRNA-His
Source: RNAcentral
CAUGAGUUAGGUUAAAAUAAACCGAGGACCUGUGGAGUCCUAGAUCGUGAAAAAUGACUUAUGU